Molecule: ribosomal RNA, 147 nt
Filed under: uncultured bacterium
Lineage: Bacteria
Description: partial 16S ribosomal RNA
Rfam family: Bacterial small subunit ribosomal RNA
Source: RNAcentral
UGGGGAAUAUUGCACAAUGGGGGAAACCCUGAUGCAGCGACGCCGCGUGAGCGAUGAAGUAUUUCGGUAUGUAAAGCUCUAUCAGCAGGGAAGAAAAUGACGGUACCUGACUAAGAAGCCCCGGCUAACUACGUGCCAGCAGCCGCG